RNAcentral lists this ribosomal RNA (508 nucleotides) under uncultured bacterium. Its description in RNAcentral is "partial 16S ribosomal RNA". It matches the Rfam family "Bacterial small subunit ribosomal RNA", at positions 30 to 523 of the family's 1533-position model. The record is from RNAcentral.
AUUGAACGCUGGCGGCAUGCCUUACACAUGCAAGUCGAACGGCAGCGGGGGAGAAGCUUGCUUUUCCUGCCGGCGAGUGGCGAACGGGUGAGUAAUACAUCGGAACGUGCCCUGUAGUGGGGGAUAACUAGUCGAAAGAUUAGCUAAUACCGCAUACGACCUGAGGGUGAAAGUGGGGGACCGCAAGGCCUCAUGCUAUAGGAGCGGCCGAUGUCUGAUUAGCUAGUUGGUGGGGUAAAGGCCUACCAAGGCGACGAUCAGUAGCUGGUCUGAGAGGACGAUCAGCCACACUGGAACUGAGACACGGCCCAGACUCCUACGGGAGUCAGCAGUGGGGAAUUUUGGACAAUGGGCGAAAGCCUGAUCCAGCAAUGCCGCGUGUGUGAAGAAGGCCUUCGGGUUGUAAAGCACUUUUGUCCGGAAAGAAAUGGCUCUGGUUAAUACCUGGGGUCGAUGACGGUACCGGAAGAAUAAGGACCGGCUAACUACGUGCCAGCCGCCGCGGUAA